GGCGUACUUAACACAUGCAAGUCGAACGAGAACGGCUUUCUUCGGAGAGCUUAUUAAAGUGGCGCACGGGUGAGUAACACGUAGAUAAUCUACUUUACAGUCUGGGAUAACUGACCGAAAGGUUCGCUAAUACCGGAUACGAUCUAUAUUGCAUAAGUAGUAUAGAAGAAAGAUGGCCUCUCCUUGGAAGCUAUUGCUGAAAGAUGAGUUUGCGUACCAUUAGCUAGUUGGUAGGGUAAUGGCCUACCAAGGCUUCGAUGGUUAGCGGGUCUGAGAGGAUGAUCCGCCACACUGGAACUGAAACACGGACCAGACUCCUACGGGAGGCAGCAGUGAGGAAUUUUGCGCAAUGGGGGCAACCCUGACGCAGUGACGCCGCGUGGACGAUGAAGGCCUUAGGGUUGUAAAGUCCUGUCAGUAGGGAAGAAAUGUGCAUAGGCCAAUACCUUAUGCAUUUGACGGUACCUACAAAGGAAGCACCGGCUAACUCCGUGCCAGCAGCCGCGGUAAUACGGAGGGUGCAAGCGUUGUUCGGAAUUACUGGGCGUAAAGAGCGCGUAGGCGGUCUUUUAAGUCAGGUGUGAAAGCCCGGGGCUCAACCCCGGAAGUGCACUUGAAACUAUGAGACUUGAGUAUGGGAGAGGGAAGUGGAAUUCCUGGUGUAGCGGUGAAAUGCGUAGAUAUCAGGAGGAACAUCGGUGGCGAAGGCGACUUCCUGGACCAAUACUGACGCUGAGGCGCGAAGGCGUGGGGAGCAAACAGGAUUAGAUACCCUGGUAGUCCACGCAGUAAACGGUGAACACUAGGUGUAGCGGGUAUUGACCCCUGCUGUGCCGCAGCAAACGCAUUAAG
This 852-nucleotide ribosomal RNA is filed under the name uncultured bacterium. RNAcentral's name for it is "bacterial SSU rRNA". It matches the Rfam family "Bacterial small subunit ribosomal RNA", at positions 41 to 864 of the family's 1533-position model. The record is from RNAcentral.